This 291-nucleotide ribosomal RNA is filed under the name uncultured bacterium. RNAcentral's name for it is "partial 16S ribosomal RNA". It matches the Rfam family "Bacterial small subunit ribosomal RNA", at positions 506 to 796 of the family's 1533-position model. The record is from RNAcentral.
UGCCAGCAGCCGCGGUAAUACGGAGGGUGCGAGCGUUGUCCGGAUUUAUUGGGUUUAAAGGGUGCGUAGGCGGCCCGUUAAGUCAGCGGUGAAAUCCCACGGCUCAACCGUGGAACUGCCGUGGAUACUGGCGGGCUUGAGUACAGACGAGGCAGGCGGAAUUGAUGGUGUAGCGGUGAAAUGCAUAGAUACCAUCAGGAACCCCGAUUGCGAAGGCAGCUUGCUAGGCUGUGACUGACGCUGAGGCACGAAAGCGUGGGGAGCGAACAGGAUUAGAUACCCCGGUAGUCC